RNAcentral lists this ribosomal RNA (376 nucleotides) under uncultured bacterium. RNAcentral describes it as "bacterial SSU rRNA". It matches the Rfam family "Bacterial small subunit ribosomal RNA", at positions 521 to 896 of the family's 1533-position model. The record is from RNAcentral.
UAAUACGAAGGGGGCUAGCGUUGUUCGGAAUUACUGGGCGUAAAGCGUAUGCAGGCGGAUCGUUAAGUCGGGGGUGAAAUCCCGAGGCUCAACCUCGGAACUGCCUUCGAUACUGGCGAUCUUCGAGUCCGGGAGAGGUGAGUGGAACUCCGAGUGUAGAGGUGAAAUUCGUAGAUAUUCGGAAGAACACCAGUGGCGAAGGCGGCUCACUGGCCCGGUACUGACGCUGAGAUACGAAAGCGUGGGGAGCAAACAGGAUUAGAUACCCUGGUAGUCCACGCCGUAAACGAUGGGUGCUAGCCGUUGGGCAGCAUGCUGUUCGGUGGCGCAGCUAACGCAUUAAGCACCCCGCCUGGGGAGUACGAUCGCAAGAUUA